UCCCCGCACAAGCGGCGGAGCGUGUGGUUUAAUUCGUUGCUACACGAAGAACCUUACCUGGGUUUGACAUAGCAGUGGUAGGGAAGCGAAAGCGGACCGACCUUCGGGAGCUGUUACAGGUGUUGCAUGGCUGUCGUCAGCUCGUGUCGUGAGAUGUUCGGUUAAGUCCGCUAACGAGCGCAACCCGCGUUGUGUGUUACAAGUGUCACACAAUACCGCCGGUAUUAAGUCGGAGGAAGGUGCGGAUGACGUCAAGUCAGCAUGAUCUUUAUAUCCAGGGCUACACACACGCUACAAUGGUCAGCACAAUAGGUUGCCAAGUCGUGAGACGGAGCCAAUCCUCCAAAGCUGGCCUCAGUUCAGAUUGUAGGCUGCAACCCGCCUGCAUGAAGUUGGAGUUGCUAGUAACCGCAGGUCAGCUAUACUGCGGUGAAUACGUUCCCGGGGAUU
This 450-nucleotide ribosomal RNA is filed under the name uncultured Anaerolineaceae bacterium. RNAcentral describes it as "bacterial SSU rRNA". It matches the Rfam family "Bacterial small subunit ribosomal RNA", at positions 918 to 1382 of the family's 1533-position model. The record is from RNAcentral. Lineage: Bacteria; Bacillati; Chloroflexota; Anaerolineae; Anaerolineales; Anaerolineaceae.